Molecule: ribosomal RNA, 491 nt
Filed under: bacterium D3
Lineage: Bacteria
Description: bacterial SSU rRNA
Rfam family: Bacterial small subunit ribosomal RNA
Source: RNAcentral
UUAGCGGCGGACGGGUGAGUAACACGUGGGCAACCUGCCUGUAAGACUGGGAUAACUUCGGGAAACCGAAGCUAAUACCGGAUAGGAUCUUCUCCUUCAUGGGAGAUGAUUGAAAGAUGGUUUCGGCUAUCACUUACAGAUGGGCCCGCGGUGCCUUAGCUAGUUGGUGAGGUAACGGCUCACCAAGGCAACGAUGCAUAGCCGACCUGAGAGGGUGAUCGGCCACACUGGGACUGAGACACGGCCCAGACUCCUACGGGAGGCAGCAGUAGGGAAUCUUCCGCAAUGGACGAAAGUCUGACGGAGCAACGCCGCGUGAGUGAUGAAGGCUUUCGGGUCGUAAAACUCUGUUGUUAGGGAAGAACAAGUACAAGAGUAACUGCUUGUACCUUGACGGUACCUAACCAGAAAGCCACGGCUAACUACGUGCCAGCAGCCGCGGUAAUACGUAGGUGGCAAGCGUUAUCCGGAAUUAUUGGGCGUAAAGCGCG